CCUUUUGUCCAGUCGCCACUCGCCAGCCAUAAAACUCCACUUUCCAAGUCCCUCCACCACGCCACCACCACCACCACCAGAAACGCCACCAACCGCUUCUUCUUCUUCUUCUUCUUCUUCUUCUUCUUCUUCUUCACCGUCGUCGUCAUGUCCAAGUGCCCGCACCACCACAGCGGCCACAAGUGGAGGAAGAUAUGGAGGAGAGUGUUCAAGGUCAGCCUGGUGGUGCUCUUCAUAAUCCUGCUCAUAGUGCUG
Molecule: long non-coding RNA, 255 nt
Filed under: Eucalyptus grandis
Lineage: Eukaryota; Viridiplantae; Streptophyta; Magnoliopsida; Myrtales; Myrtaceae
Description: long non-coding RNA (EGRA_LNC005769)
Source: RNAcentral